UGGGGAAUUUUGGACAAUGGGCGAAAGCCUGAUCCAGCAAUGCCGCGUGUGUGAAGAAGGCCUUCGGGUUGUAAAGCACUUUUGGCAGGAAAGAAACGUCGCGGGUUAAUACCCCGCGGAACUGACGGUACCUGCAGAAUAAGCACCGGCUAACUACGUGCCAGCAGCCGCGGUAAUACGUAGGGUGCAAGCGUUAAUCGGAAUUACUGGGCGUAAAGCGUGCGCAGGCGGUUCGGAAAGAAAGAUGUGAAAUCCCAGAGCUUAACUUUGGAACUGCAUUUUUAACUACCGGGCUAGAGUGUGUCAGAGGGAGGUGGAAUUCCGCGUGUAGCAGUGAAAUGCGUAGAUAUGCGGAGGAACACCGAUGGCGAAGGCAGCCUCCUGGGAUAACACUGACGCUCAUGCACGAAAGCGUGGGGAGCAAACAGGAUUAGAUACCCUGGUAGUCCACGCCCUAAACGAUGUCAACUAGCUGUUGGGGUCUUCGGACCUUGGUAGCGCAGCUAACGCGUGAAGUUGACCGCCUGGGGAGUACGGUCGCAAGAUUAAAACUCAAAGGAAUU
Molecule: ribosomal RNA, 563 nt
Filed under: uncultured bacterium
Lineage: Bacteria
Description: partial 16S ribosomal RNA
Rfam family: Bacterial small subunit ribosomal RNA
Source: RNAcentral